UCCAAGGGAUUUUUAUCUCCUCGAUUAGUUGAUUCAUAGCCUCCGAUGAUACGAGGCCUAAGCUCUGGUGAUACCAUGAAUUCACAAUUUCAGAUUCAAACUCCGGCUUCAUCUGUCAAACUCUCCUCUCUUCUCCUCUGUCACGAGAGAUCAAAUCAGAUUCGCUAUCGGAGAUGGCUACAAAAAUCAGAAGAAAUAAAAGUUGUGGCAGAGAUGGGGAUUCUUCGUUUACCAAAUGCAUAAGCUUUAAAUAUCCGAACUGGAAUUGUGUAUUUUGUUUGUAUUUAAAGUAAAAGAGUCACUUUCAGCCUGAUAAAAUCUUUUGUCUGCAACAAUUUCUUGAAAGACUUGCGCUGAGCGGCGGAUUGGUGGUGUCUCAGACGAUUGAAGUGUGAAGACGAUCCUAGAAAGACUGCAGGAACUAGAAGGAUGAUGUACUUCCAUGGUUUUACUUCUUUUGGGUGAUCUAUCACAGUGAUUCAGUAUGCAACUGAGGUAAUCUGUACUUCAGCAAGGCAGUAUCUUUGAGAUUGGAACACAAUGAACAAUGGAAGAAAUGUCACAGUAUCUAUGAAGGCUCUCAGAUUAUCUAUGAUGAUGGUUCAAAGAUUCGUUCAUGUAACAAGAAUGAGUUAGAUUUUUUUAUAGUGUUGUUGAAAUUUUUUAAACAGGAAAUAGCGUCACUAUUUUUAUCAUUGGUUGUUUUACAUGAGUCUUAUGUGAAUAAUCGCUCCGAUCAAUUUCAAUCAAAA
Long non-coding RNA from Raphanus sativus (radish), 752 nucleotides. RefSeq lists it as uncharacterized. The record is from RefSeq and is a predicted model, not a curated record. The transcript has 3 exons. Lineage: Eukaryota; Viridiplantae; Streptophyta; Magnoliopsida; Brassicales; Brassicaceae.